Molecule: ribosomal RNA, 580 nt
Filed under: uncultured Pseudomonas sp.
Lineage: Bacteria; Pseudomonadati; Pseudomonadota; Gammaproteobacteria; Pseudomonadales; Pseudomonadaceae
Description: bacterial SSU rRNA
Rfam family: Bacterial small subunit ribosomal RNA
Source: RNAcentral
AGAGUUUGAUCCUGGCUCAGAACGAACGCUGGCGGCAUGCCUAAUACAUGCAAGUCGAACGAGCCCUUCGGGGUUAGUGGCGCACGGGUGCGUAACGCGUGGGAAUCUGCCCUUGGGUUCGGAAUAACGUCUGGAAACGGACGCUAAUACCGGAUGAUGACGAAAGUCCAAAGAUUUAUCGCCCAGGGAUGAGCCCGCGUAGGAUUAGCUAGUUGGUGGGGUAAAGGCCUACCAAGGCGACGAUCCGUAACUGGUCUGAGAGGAUGAUCAGUCACACUGGAACUGAGACACGGUCCAGACUCCUACGGGAGGCAGCAGUGGGGAAUAUUGGACAAUGGGCGAAAGCCUGAUCCAGCCAUGCCGCGUGUGUGAAGAAGGUCUUCGGAUUGUAAAGCACUUUAAGUUGGGAGGAAGGGCAGUAAGUUAAUACCUUGCUGUUUUGACGUUACCAACAGAAUAAGCACCGGCUAACUUCGUGCCAGCAGCCGCGGUAAUACGAAGGGUGCAAGCGUUAAUCGGAAUUACUGGGCGUAAAGCGCGCGUAGGUGGUUUGGUAAGAUGGAUGUGAAAUCCCCGGGCU